UGGGGGAUAUUGCACAAUGGGCGAAAGCCUGAUGCAGCGACGCCGCGUGGGGGAUGAAGGCCUUCGGGUUGUAAACUUCUUUUGCUCUGAACAAGGCAUGCCUUUGGGGUGUGUUGAGUGUAGGGGUUGAUUAGCGCCGGCUAACUACGUGCCAGCAGCCGCGGUAAUACGUAGGGCGCGAGCGUUGUCCGGAAUUAUUGGGCGUAAAGGGCUUGUAGGUGGCUGGUUGCGUCUGUCGUGAAAGCUCAUGGCUUAACUGUGGGUUUGCGGUGGGUACGGGCUGGCUUGAGUGCAGUAGGGGAGGCUGGAAUUCCUGGUGUAGCGGUGGAAUGCGCAGAUAUCAGGAGGAAUACCGGUGGCGAAGGCGGGUCUCUGGGCUGUUACUGACGCUGAGGAGUGAAAGCGUGGGGAGCGAACAGG
RNAcentral lists this ribosomal RNA (420 nucleotides) under Fusobacteriota bacterium. Its description in RNAcentral is "Fusobacteria bacterium partial 16S ribosomal RNA". It matches the Rfam family "Bacterial small subunit ribosomal RNA", at positions 355 to 776 of the family's 1533-position model. The record is from RNAcentral. Lineage: Bacteria; Fusobacteriati; Fusobacteriota.